AUUGAACGCUGGCGGCAGGCUUAACACAUGCAAGUCGAGCGGAGUGAUGGUGCUUGCACUAUCACUUAGCGGCGGACGGGUGAGUAAUGCUUAGGAAUCUGCCUAUUAGUGGGGGACAACAUCUCGAAAGGGAUGCUAAUACCGCAUACGUCCUACGGGAGAAAGCAGGGGAUCUUUAUGACCUUGCGCUAAUAGAUGAGCCUAAGUCGGAUUAGCUAGUUGGUGGGGUAAAGGCCUACCAAGGCGACGAUCUGUAGCGGGUCUGAGAGGAUGAUCCGCCACACUGGGACUGAGACACGGCCCAGACUCCUACGGGAGGCAGCAGUGGGGAAUAUUGGACAAUGGGGGGAACCCUGAUCCAGCCAUGCCGCGUGUGUGAAGAAGGCCUUAUGGUUGUAAAGCACUUUAAGCGAGGAGGAGGCUUACCUAGUUAAUACCUGGGAUAAGUGGACGUUACUCGCAGAAUAAGCACCGGCUAACUCUGUGCCAGCCGCCGCCGUAA
RNAcentral lists this ribosomal RNA (502 nucleotides) under uncultured bacterium. RNAcentral's name for it is "partial 16S ribosomal RNA". It matches the Rfam family "Bacterial small subunit ribosomal RNA", at positions 30 to 523 of the family's 1533-position model. The record is from RNAcentral.